UCCUCUUAGUCUUGACUAAGACUCCUCUAUAGUGGAUUUAAGUUGACUUUUUUCUGCUUUAGUAGAACUUUCUCUCUAUUACAGUUUGGAAGUACAGUGACAUAGUAUGACUACUUUGUAUUUCCAAGUACAAACACUGUCUGGGUUUCAGACAUUGAUUUUGUUUUUAGUUUAACCAAUCUUUUUAUUUUUUUUUAAUAAGUUACAGAAGUCCUGAAUUGUUUGCCCAGAAUGUCCAGCUUUUAGGUCUGAGUUUAAUCACUCAUUAUUAUUAUCCUAUAUCCUUCUAGAUCUGUAGUCUUUUGAGAGUGGAGUUUAGCCAAGGGGUUCAUCUAAGUAAGGUCAAUAGGUAAAAUAUAUGCUUCUUGGCAUAGAGAUGAGUUAGAAUUUAUAUCUCUGUUCUGUAAAUAUUACAUCACUGCUGAAGUGCUGAGGUCAACAGUGUAUUGUUUAUAAAUAUUGUCCAAGAAGAAUGUAUUGUUUCACAAAUACUGGUGUUUUCCGUGAUUUCUGAUAAUGUUCCCCAUUUUCCUGCUGUGUUGAAUUGAUAGUGUGCCCUUAAGUCCAGACAACUGCUUGAGUCAUGUUCACAUUGGAACAGGGAGUACUCUGUUUAGUUUCUCUGGCAGAAAAGACAGCGUGCUGUGGUUUAGGAAAGUCCUACCAGCGGAGAUAUCUCAGUGAAACAGUGCUUCAUAGCAUAAGCAAAAGUGACUUGUUCCUAAGAACAUUUCUCAUGAGAAUCAUCAGCAUUUGCUGCCAGGAUACCCGCAACUCUGAUGAUGCUUUUGUUGGCUAUUUUUGCUUCAAAGGAUACAGUGUCAUUGAAAGACUAAUGCACGCUACCAGGAUCACAAUUCAUGUCUCUUCUGGGGAAGACGGGGAAUCAUCGGGAGAAGACUGUGGGAUGUUAUUUUAAAGAUAAGGCUUUAUGUUCAAAUUCAUUUGAGUAGUAAAUGCAUGAAUGGAUGUGGUUUUUCAGCAGUUCAGCUAAAGCAGAUAAAAACACAUUUUUUAUUUUUUUUUAAUUGAGGGAACAUACUCAUUGAUUAUUAGUAGAAAAAGAGGAAUAUAUUAAACUGCAGUAGGUGAACAUCAGCAUGCAAAGUUCUUUUGUUAAUAAGAAUAUAUUGAUAGAUCUACGGACUUUAAAUUACAGAGAGCUCAUUUUAUUGUCUCAUCAGACCUGUAGAUCAAAGCUGUGAAAUUUCCCAGCAUUACCUCUGAAGUGCAUAGAACUACACAAAAUGUGUUGGUAAAGCAGAGCAUGGAAAAGAAGAUGCUAUUCAAGUUGACAAGCUUUAUAGCUUUGGGUCAAAUCCACCUUUCUUCAGUUUUAAACUGAAGUGCUGUUUUUCUCAUUUUUGAGCUUUGGCAAAGUGUAUCAUAUUUCAGUUUAUCCAUGAAAAUGACCUGUUUUGUUUCUUCUAGACUUAAUCCAUAACACUAUAUGCGUAACAACACAAGUCCACAAGUUGUCAAAAACAUGGUCCCUCCAAAAUAAAUAACUAAUAAAUAAUCA
This 1522-nucleotide long non-coding RNA is filed under the name Numida meleagris (helmeted guineafowl). Its description in RNAcentral is "lncRNA (ENSNMEG00000017398.1)". Lineage: Eukaryota; Metazoa; Chordata; Aves; Galliformes; Numididae. The record is from RNAcentral.